CUUGGGUGUCCCCAGGUCCCCUCGGUGUCCCCUGGGGUGUCCCCAGGCACCCUUGGGUGUCCCCAGGCACCCUUGUGUCCCUCCUCGCUGUCCCUUGGGUGUCCCCAGGUCCCCUCGGUGUCCCCUCAGCACCCAUGGGUGCCCCCUCCCACCCUCCCCUGUCCCUGGGGUCCCCAUGGGGUUCUUUUUGGGGUCCCCAACGUUCUCCAAGGGUUCUCUGUAGGGUCCCCAAUGUUCCCCAUGGGGUCCCCGAUGUCCCCAUGGGUUCUCCAAGGGGACCCCAACCUUCUUUAGGGUCCCUGAUGUUCCCCAUGGGGUCCCCAAUGUCCCCAUGGGUUCUCCAAGGGGACCCCAAUGUUCUCCAUGGGGUCCCCAAUGUCCCCAUGGGUUCUCCCUGGGGUCCCCGAUGUCCCCAUGGGCUCUCCAAGGGGACCCCAAUGUUCUCCUUGGGGUUCCUGAUGUUCCCCAUGGGGUCCCCAAUGUCCCCUAUGGGUUCUCUAAGGGGACCCCAACCCUCUUUAGGGUCCCUGAUGUUCCCCAUGGGGUCCCCAACGUUCUUGAUGUUCCUCUUGGGGUUCCUGAUGUCCCCCAUGGGGUCCCCGAUGUCCCCAUGGGUUCUCCAAGGAGACCCCAAUGUUCUCCAUGAGGUUCUUGAGGUUCUCCAUGGGGUCCCCAACGUUCUCUGUAGGGUUCCUGAUGUUCCUCUUGGGGUUCCUGAUGUCCCCAUGGGCUCCUCAUGGGGUCCCCAACGUUCUCGGGGUCCCCGACGUUCUCCCCGGGUUCCCCGGUGUCCCCCUGACGCUGUCCCCAUCUUGUCCCCAGUGCCACCACCAUGCCGCACCAGUACCCGGCGCUCACCCCCGAGCAGAAGCAGGAGCUCGCCGACAUCGCCCGGCGCAUCGUGGCCCCCGGCAAGGGCAUCCUAGCUGCCGAUGAGUCCACUGGUGGGCACUGGGAUGAACUGGGAGGGGACUGGGGGGGGCUGGGAGGGGGCUGGGAGGGACUGGUUUGGGGCUGGGAGGGACUGGUGGGCACUGGGAGGGGGUUGAGGGGCACUGGGAGGGCACUGGGAGCUGCUGGGGUGGGGUUGAGGGCCAUUGGGAGGCAACUGGGGCAGACUGGGAGGCAACUGGGGCAGACUGGAAGCAACUGGGACAGACAGGAAACAACUGGGAGGUGCCGCCCUGCCCAGUAUUGAGGAAGUACUGGGGAGUGAGUCAGCUCUGACGGGACUGGGAGGAACUGGGAGGGGCCGAGGGGCCACUGGGAGAUACGGAGGGGCACUGGGAGGGCACUGGACCUUACUGGGAGAUGCUGGAGCGGCACCAGGAGUGCACUGGGAGCUACUGGGAGGAACUGGGAUGGCAGCAGGGAGGAUGGGGAAACAGCUGAGCACCUCGAGGUGGCACCAGUGGGGCUUUGAGAGCUUCUGGGGUGGUACUGGGAGAUACUGGGAGGCACUGGGGCACCGCCAAUAGUCCAGAGGGACAUACUGGGACAUACUGGGUCAUACUGGUAUGGCUUCAAGGAAGAUGGGGAAGUGUCUGAGAACCUCGAGGUGGCACCAGGAGGUCCACGAGAGCUCCUGGGAAGGCACUGGGAGCUACUGGGAGGCACUGGGGCACCACCAAUAGACCAGAGGGACAUACUGGGACACACUGGGUCAUACUGGGACAUACUGGUAUGGCUUCAAGGAGGAUGGGGAAGUGUCUGAGAACCUCGAGGUGGCACCAGGAGGUCCACGAGAGCUCCUGGGAAGGCACUGGGAGC
This 1770-nucleotide long non-coding RNA is filed under the name Anas platyrhynchos platyrhynchos (common mallard). RNAcentral describes it as "lncRNA (ENSAPLG00000017465.1)". The record is from RNAcentral. Lineage: Eukaryota; Metazoa; Chordata; Aves; Anseriformes; Anatidae.